UAAAGGUCGAAAGGGGAGAUUCAGUAUCCAUUCCUCGUCGCCGCUCCGCGCCGCGGGUACAACUCGGGGUGGCCCCUCACGGGGUUUGCCUUGGGCCCGCGGCGCGGUCUCGCGCGCGGGAGGCGGAGCGCACUUCUCCCCGAGUAGGACGCCGCGACCCGCUGGGUGUCGGUCUAAGGCCCGGGCGCGAGCCCGCGUCGCGGCUCGCCGCGAUGCGGAGCCCCGGUGUCCCGGCCGACUGCCCGGCGGUCUGACGUGAGGAAUUCGCCCGCGCUACCUUUUAGCGCGCCCGUGCCGCUUGCGAGCGUUCGGCCGAACCCGUCGUGCGGACCUGUCCGCCGCGGGCCGGUCGGCGUUGUCGGCUCGCGGACUUCUCGGGCAGCGGCGUGCUCCUGUCUGCGGCGCUCAAAGCUGGGCGGCCCACCCGGCCCGUCUUGAAACACCGACCAAGGAGUCUAACAUGUGCGCGAGUCAUUGGGUCCCUCGAAACCCAAGGGCGCAUUGAACGAGAAGGCCGGCCUCGCGCCGGCUGAGGGAGGAUGGGGCGUCGCUCGCGGCGCCCCCGCAUUCCCGGGGCGUCUCGUCCUACCGGCGCUCGUCGCCGGAAGGUGAGGCGCACCAAGAGCGCACACGUUGGGACCCGAAAGAUGGUGAACUAUGCCUGGCCAGGACGAAGUCAGGGGAAACCCUGAUGGAGGUCCGUAGCGAUUCUGACGUGC
RNAcentral lists this ribosomal RNA (719 nucleotides) under Farrodes sp. BCOD-2008. Its description in RNAcentral is "eukaryotic LSU rRNA". The stretch from base 446 to 719 matches the Rfam family "Eukaryotic large subunit ribosomal RNA", at positions 665 to 894 of the family's 3401-position model. The record is from RNAcentral. Lineage: Eukaryota; Metazoa; Arthropoda; Insecta; Ephemeroptera; Leptophlebiidae.